CAGCAGCCGCGGUAAUACCGGCGGCCCGAGUGGCGGUCACUAUUAUUGGGCUUAAAGCGUCCGUAACCGGGUUGGGAAGUCCUCCGGGAAAUCUGGCCGCUUAACGGUCAGAAUGCCGGAGGAUACUCCCAGCCUAGGGAGCGGGAGAGGCCGAGGGGAUUCCCGGAGUAGGGGUGAAAUCCUAUAAUCCCGGGAGGACCACCUGUGGCGAAGGCGCUCGGCUGGAACGCGUCCGACGGUGAGGGACGAAGGCCAGGGGAGCAAACCGGAUUAGAUACCCGGGUAGUCCUGGCUGUAAACGAUGCGGACUUUGUGUCGGACAAGCUAUGAGCUUGUCCGGUGCCGGAGGGAAACCGUUAAGUCCGCCGCCUGGGGAGUACGGCCGCAAGGCUGAAACUUAAAGGAAUUGGCGGG
This 414-nucleotide ribosomal RNA is filed under the name uncultured microorganism. RNAcentral's name for it is "bacterial SSU rRNA". It matches the Rfam family "Archaeal small subunit ribosomal RNA", at positions 459 to 872 of the family's 1478-position model. The record is from RNAcentral.